This 440-nucleotide ribosomal RNA is filed under the name uncultured bacterium. Its description in RNAcentral is "partial 16S ribosomal RNA". It matches the Rfam family "Bacterial small subunit ribosomal RNA", at positions 338 to 795 of the family's 1533-position model. The record is from RNAcentral.
CCUACGGGAGGCAGCAGUGGGGAAUAUUGCACAAUGGUGGAAACACUGAUGCAGCGACGCCGCGUGAGCGAUGAAGUAUCUCGGUAUGUAAAGCUCUAUCAGCAGGGAAGCAAAUGCCGGUACCUGACUAAGAAGCCCCGUCUAACUACGUGCCAGCAGCCGCGGUAAUACGGAGGGGGCCAGCGUUAUCCGGAUUUACUGGGGGUAAAGGGAGCGUAGGCGGCUUGGCAAGCCAGACGUGAAAGGCUGGGGCUCAACCCCAGGACUGCAGUUGGAACUGUCAUGCUAGAGUGGCGGAGAGGCAGGCGGAAUUCGCAGUGUAGCGGUGAAAUGCGUAGAUAUUAGGAGGAACACCAGUGGCGAAGGCGGCAUGCUGGACGAUGACUGACGUUGAGGCUCGAAAGCGUGGGGAGCAAACAGGAUUAGAUACCCUUGUAGUC